AACUUAGGGUUCUAUUAGUGAAUUUUUCAUUUACACUGAAAAGGAUCCUGUGCAAUUCAGGAUUGGUUGAU
This 71-nucleotide transfer RNA is filed under the name Hetaerina aurora. RNAcentral's name for it is "tRNA-Val". Lineage: Eukaryota; Metazoa; Arthropoda; Insecta; Odonata; Calopterygidae. The record is from RNAcentral.